AGACGUCUACAUUAGAUACCCGUGUAGUCCCAGCCGUAAACUAUGCGCGUUAGGUGUAUCGGUGACCACGAGUCACCGAGGUGCCGAAGGGAAACCGUGAAACGUGCCGCCUGGGAAGUACGGUCGCAAGGCUGAAACUUAAAGGAAUUGGCGGGGAGCACCACAACGGGUGGAGCCUGCGGUUUAAUUGGGCUCAACGCCGGGAAGCUCACCGGAUAAGACAGCGGAAUGAUUGCCGGGCUGAAGACUCUGCAUGACUAGCUG
RNAcentral lists this ribosomal RNA (264 nucleotides) under uncultured archaeon. RNAcentral describes it as "partial 16S ribosomal RNA". It matches the Rfam family "Archaeal small subunit ribosomal RNA", at positions 717 to 982 of the family's 1478-position model. The record is from RNAcentral.